RNAcentral lists this unclassified non-coding RNA (305 nucleotides) under plant metagenome. RNAcentral describes it as "partial contains 5.8S ribosomal RNA, internal transcribed spacer 2, and large subunit ribosomal RNA". The stretch from base 1 to 105 matches the Rfam family "5.8S ribosomal RNA", at positions 50 to 154 of the family's 154-position model. The record is from RNAcentral.
GAAAUGCGAUAAGUAAUGUGAAUUGCAGAAUUCAGUGAAUCAUCGAAUCUUUGAACGCACAUUGCGCCCGCCAGUAUUCUGGCGGGCAUGCCUGUUCGAGCGUCAUUUCUACCAUCAAGCCCCCGGCUUGUGUUGGGGACCUGCGGCUGCCCGCAGGCCCUGAAAAACAGUGGCGGGCUCGCUGUCACACCGAGCGUAGUAGCAUACAUUCUCGCUCAGGGCGUGCUGCGGGUUCCGGCCGUUAAACGACCUUCAUAACCCAAGGUUGACCUCGGAUCAGGUAGGAAGACCCGCUGAACUUAAGC